GUGCUUAGUGAGUGGUAAAUCUCUUCAACAGAAGUUAAAUGUAAUCGGUCACACAAACCAGGAAUUUUCCUUAGGAUACAGAGAACAAACAUGGGCACCACUCCAGUUCCAAUGGCAGAGAAAGAGCAGGGAAGAGUAUCAUGUCAACUCUAGAGUUUUAACCCAUGUGACUGGAGCUGAAGCUGUGGUGAUGCUUCUUUAAUUAAGGCAUUUCUCACAAGGGCUUUGAGAUGCAGGAGAAAAAUAAUAAGGCAAGCCAACAUCAGGACAUGCAAGUAGCUAAGGAUCACGAUCUGCUGGUUCUCAGAAUAGCAAGGAAAAUGCAGUAAAGCUUUGAAAGGGCUUUGAACAUCAGAGAAAUCUUUGGCAAUAGCUGAAGUCCACAGUAUUUCUGAGUUAUGUGAACCUAAAGCAGAAGAGGAGAGGAACUGCACUGAAGAACUGAAGGAUUAAAAAUAGCCUGAGAGAUCAGAGCUGCUCAGAGGUUCCAGGCAGCAGGACACAUCCCCCAGAAAGGUAUGUGGGGAACAGGAGCAUGUUCUGAUUUGCAGUCAGCAGGACAAGCAGAGCAUCCUUGUGCCACCCUGACGGGACACCCCAAAGGAA
Empidonax traillii (willow flycatcher) is the source of this 606-nucleotide long non-coding RNA. RefSeq lists it as uncharacterized. Lineage: Eukaryota; Metazoa; Chordata; Aves; Passeriformes; Tyrannidae. The transcript is spliced from 3 exons. The record is from RefSeq and is a predicted model, not a curated record.